AGCGGCGAGUGAAGCGGCAAAAGCUCAAAUUUGAAAUCUGGCACCUUCGGUGUCCGAGUUGUAAUUUGAAGAUUGUAACCUUGGGGUUGGCUCUUGUCUAUGUUUCUUGGAACAGGACGUCACAGAGGGUGAGAAUCCCGUGCGAUGAGAUGCCCAAUCCUAUGUAAGGUGCUUUCGAAGAGUCGAGUUGUUUGGGAAUGCAGCUCUAAGUGGGUGGUAAAUUCCAUCUAAAGCUAAAUAUUGGCGAGAGACCGAUAGCGAACAAGUACAGUGAUGGAAAGAUGAAAAGAACUUUGAAAAGAGAGUGAAAAAGUACGUGAAAUUGUUGAAAGGGAAGGGUUUGAGAUCAGACUCGAUAUUUUGUGA
This 366-nucleotide ribosomal RNA is filed under the name Meyerozyma caribbica. RNAcentral's name for it is "partial 28S ribosomal RNA". It matches the Rfam family "Eukaryotic large subunit ribosomal RNA", at positions 85 to 448 of the family's 3401-position model. The record is from RNAcentral. Lineage: Eukaryota; Fungi; Ascomycota; Pichiomycetes; Serinales; Debaryomycetaceae.